This 253-nucleotide ribosomal RNA is filed under the name uncultured bacterium. RNAcentral describes it as "partial 16S ribosomal RNA". It matches the Rfam family "Bacterial small subunit ribosomal RNA", at positions 524 to 776 of the family's 1533-position model. The record is from RNAcentral.
UACAGAGGUCUCAAGCGUUGUUCGGAUUCAUUGGGCGUAAAGGGUGCGUAGGCGGCGCGGUAAGUCGGGUGUGAAAUCUCGGAGCUUAACUCCGAAACUGCAUUCGAUACUGCCGUGCUUGAGGACUGGAGAGGAGACUGGAAUUUACGGUGUAGCGGUGAAAUGCGUAGAUAUCGUAAGGAAGACCAGUGGCGAAGGCGGGUCUCUGGACAGUUCCUGACGCUGAAGCACGAAGGUCAGGGGAGCAAACGGG